GGGGCCGACCUGGUUUCGACGUGGGUAUCGAAGCAGAUCAGUGCAUACCGAGGCCCAGCCACCUCGUAAAUCCAACUGGAAACACUACAAACGCGAACGACGAGCGUUUUGCUCUAGCCGCCUAAGAACCGGCUGGACCCCUGCACCGGCUUGCUCAUGGGCCGGAGUAGCGCAAGCUACGGCAGGGUCAUAUACAUGAGCUAAGGGUUGUCUGCGCCGCGUGGCCAACCUCGAAAAUCCAGCGGCUCGCCGUCUGCCAGCCUGCCGGUUGGCGUGCAGACGGUCAGAUCAAACAACUCGGCUAAGUAUGUAGGACUGGCUGUGUAGGACUUACGGACGCGGGUUCGAUUCCCGCCGGCUCCACCA
This 366-nucleotide transfer-messenger RNA is filed under the name Betaproteobacteria bacterium RIFCSPLOWO2_02_FULL_65_24. It matches the Rfam family "transfer-messenger RNA". From Rfam's summary of the family: Bacterial tmRNA, also known as 10Sa RNA or SsrA, is named for its dual tRNA and mRNA-like properties. RNAcentral also lists the same sequence under 1 other name. The record is from RNAcentral. Lineage: Bacteria; Pseudomonadati; Pseudomonadota; Betaproteobacteria.